Molecule: non-coding RNA, 1935 nt
Organism: Podarcis lilfordi (Lilford's wall lizard)
Lineage: Eukaryota; Metazoa; Chordata; Lepidosauria; Squamata; Lacertidae
Source: the annotation of a GenBank genome assembly
CCAGUCAAAUUGUGUCAGUAGAGAGCCUCUUAUCAUUUUGCUUUCUUGUACAGUAUGCUUUUCUUGUAUGCAGAGUUUUGUUCUUUUAGUGAAGUUUCCUACUCUGAGUCACAUGAUGCCAGAUAGGCUUUUGUGUGAAUUGUCUGAGGAGAAAUGUCAUACUGUCUCACUUCCUGGGCUUCCCCCCCACAAAUUCUUUUUCCAUUACCAUUUCUUUUGAACUUGUGAAUUUUCAGCACUGCACUUCUCACGCAGGCACGUUGUUCAUUUCAUCGGCAGAUUUAGCUCUGUCCUGAACCCCUGGCUUACCUGGCAGCAAGUCAGUGUGCAAAGUCCAAAGUUCAAAGUCUUGGGGUCAAUCCACACAGGCAAAGUCCAAAGGUCAGGAAACGCAGUCCAGGAUCAAUCCAGAUAGCCAAGUCUGAAGUCCAGCAGACACAGUACCUGGGCUUGAUGAGGCAUAUGACUCUCACCUGUUCCAAGCCUACUCCAGCUGAGGAAUCACACCUCUCCUCCCAGACCUAGCAAACCUCACCUGGCCAUCUAGUGAGCAGGGUUGUGGGCCCUGGCCUUCCUCAGCCUCCUAGAGUGCCUCUCCUGCUGCUCCCUACGCCUCAGAACCUGCCAUGUUCAUGGAGACAGGGGCCCCUCGGGCUCUGGUGUAAGAAAAACACUGGGGCCUAAUUUGACCAGUACAGUCAAACCUCAGUUUUUGAACAUCCCGGCUGCUGAACGUUUUGGAAGCUGAACGCCAAAAAACAGGAAUUGAAUAUGUUAUGUACUGAGUUGAAUAGGAUCCAAAAAGCAGAAGUCUGAUUGGUCCUAGAACAAAAGGAUUCAGAAUGCAGCAGUCUGAUUGGUUCUAGAACAAUGCAGCAAUAUGAUUGGUCCACAGGAGCCACCCAAUCCAGCUCCAGAUGGAGGUGAAUCCGCAGCCUGAUUGGACUACAGGGGAAUCCCAGAAUUAGCCAAUCGUGUGCGACCCAUUGUGUAAAUAAUGUAUAUAAAGCAGAUAUUUUGGGGGAACUUUCAUUCCUCACUACUAUGAGCUGAAUAAAGAGCAUGAAAUCCACACUCGACUCCGAGUAUAUUUCAGAAUGCUUCCGUUUUCAAACGUUCAUCAGAAGCCGAACGGCUUCUGAGGCGCGUUUCUCCAUUUUUCUCAAUAGAACUUGCUGACAGUCCUUUGAUCCUCGGUUUUCGAAAGUCAAACGGGCUUCCGGAACGGAUUAUGUUCAAAAACUGAGGUUCCACUGUAGAAUGUUUGGUGGGCGGGGCUUGUGUGUUAUGCUCUGGAAUCAGCCCCUCCCUUCUGUGUUCUGUUAAGUUUCAGUUAAGAGGGACCAACUGCCUCUUUUCAUUUCUUUCCUCAUGUUGUUGUCUUUAGUUUCUCGCACUAUGUUAUUUUGUUACUGUUUUCUUUAUUAUUAAAGCUUAGUUUACUUAUUUCUCUCAAAGAAAUCUGUUGAGAAAGGUGUGGGAUGUCCUAAACUGCGGGAGUGAGGGGAUAUUCCCAGUUUGCCAGGAGAAUUUAUUUUGUUAAUCAUCUCCCCAUCUCCACAACAGAUGGGUCCUGCUGCUCUGGUUCCUGUGCCUUGACCCCCAACCUCUGUUACCCUGUGAGUACUUCCUACACCAAAUUCUCCAUCCCCAGUCCCAGCUACACCCCUCACCAGAAUCCUCCUCCCCAUCAUCCUGCCAGUUCAUGACAAGCAGCAGCUGAACUUGACUGCCUUGUGAUUCCAUUUCGAGGAAAGACCGGAAAAGAAACUUUCAUUCACAUUUGUUAUUGGAAUGCCUAUAGUCAAUUUUGUGUAACUGCAGAUUCAUUGUUUCAGAAAAAUAAAUUAAGGGGCUUAACCUAGGGUGGUCACAUUUAAUAAUUACUUUGAAGAGUGGAUUUCAGCAAGUGUAGCUUGUGUGAAGAGUGCAUGC